Oreochromis aureus is the source of this 1307-nucleotide long non-coding RNA. The record is from Ensembl. Lineage: Eukaryota; Metazoa; Chordata; Actinopteri; Cichliformes; Cichlidae.
CAAAUCCAAGACAUAAUGAAACUAAUUAAAAUAACAGUGUCCAUGCACAAAUCAGGCAUCACUAAACACUUAAAGGUCACAGAUCUUUAGAACCACAGCCAAACAAGAAUUCCUUUUCUUUUUUUAUAAAUAAAUGUGUAGAUUCUAGCUAAAUGUGUGUUUAAAAAAAAGGAAAACAAAAGGAGGGCCACAACAAUCAUGGUAAGAGGAGUUGGCACUGUUGCCCUAACAAGACCGUUCAGUUCUGCUUAAAUAAUCAGUUUCCCUUGUGUCCGGACAACACAACAGCUGUAUUUUAUUUGUUUUUUCCUGGGAAAAUAACAACGAUGACAAGAAAAAUUAUAAUUUCUUCUUCUUCAAAAAAAAAUAUUGCGGUCACUGAUCUGCCUCUCUGACUGCUGUGCGUGCUCCCAACACAAGGGAAGAAGCUGGGGAAGCUGAUGAACUAGGGGUGGAUAAAAACAACCAUUUUUAUCAGCAAUUUUGGUUGCUGUGAUAUACAACUUGAUGUUAAGUACACAUAGUUAUUAAUUUUGGUGCUAGUUAAGCUGUAUACAGGACACAGUACACAAGUCAAUGCCUUCAAACUGUCAUGGUCGAACGGUCCUUCCUGGGCGACCUGCCUGUGUGUGUCUCUCUCUCCUCCUCCCCAUCCUUGUUGUCUCCACCCAGCGGCCGACACACCUGCACCUAAUUUGCCACCCAGCUGUCACUAAUCAUCCUUCGUCUUGGGCUGAGGUAUUUAAUUGUGUGUCCAGACGGCAGUCGACGCUGGAUUGUACUUGAAGCUCAGAGGAAGAGAUACGGAGCAGGAGGUUGGAGAGAAGGAGCCCGCUGGAUUAAGCUCUCGGACGAGAAAACACACUCGGAUAAUCACUUUGGAAACUCACCUGCACACCACUGGGAGUUUGGAGAAGAUCACUGUUGGAUUUUUGCACUUUGCUUUGUGUUUGGAGACUGUUUUUGAGCACUGUAAAUAAAGGCACUGUUUGCUUCGCAUCCAGAGCUCCGCGACUGAGUCCGUAUUUUCCCAUUACCCAUGACACAAACUGAAAAUCGGCUAAGUCCAACAUUCCAGUCAAAAUUUUAACUAACUUAGCAUGGCUUGAGUGCUAGGAAAAAGUUCACCAGGACUUGACUAACGACAUACAUUACUUUGCAGCAUCGUAACUUUGUAAACAUUUCAUUUAUACUUAGGGAUUCAAAUUAGGCCAAAAAGGUAUUGCCUUUAGUGCAGAAAAUAAGUCCUUAGCUCAAAGUGGUGCGGCCUCUGGUAUAAUUUAUUAUCAGUUAUUUCGUUUCAAUUU